AGUCGAGCAAUCGCGUAUAAGUUUUCUUAUAUGAGGAAAGUCCGGACACCUCAGGGCAGAACGACGGAUAACGUCCGCCGGGGGCAACCUUAGGACAAGUGCCACAGAAAAGUAAACAACCAAUCGGUUCAGGUGCAACGGUAGUGUAAAAGACUACAGGAGAUAUUGUAAAAUAUCUGCCGGGUAAACUCCGUUCGGGUGCAAGAUUGACAGAAAGGUUAAGGUGACCCGCCGUCUUUCAAAAAUCGCUAGAGCUUCAAGGUAACUUGAUUCCCAGACAGAUGAUUGCUUAGAAACAGAAUCCGGCUUAUGAGCUGCUC
RNAcentral lists this RNase P RNA (320 nucleotides) under bovine gut metagenome. Its description in RNAcentral is "Bacterial RNase P class A". It matches the Rfam family "Bacterial RNase P class A". From Rfam's summary of the family: Ribonuclease P (RNase P) is a ubiquitous endoribonuclease, found in archaea, bacteria and eukarya as well as chloroplasts and mitochondria. The record is from RNAcentral.